Oryza sativa Japonica Group (Japanese rice) is the source of this 145-nucleotide non-coding RNA. The record is from RefSeq and is a predicted model, not a curated record. Lineage: Eukaryota; Viridiplantae; Streptophyta; Magnoliopsida; Poales; Poaceae.
GCUUCUAUCUGCCUCGCCGUAAUCCAAGUAGGUUCAAGUGCUUGAAGAGCAUAUCUACCAAAACAAAUACAAUUGCCUCGGUAGGAUUUUCCCUUUAUUCUUCCUCUAUGUUGUUUACGAAAUCUGGUUUGAAGAGCCAAGUCGU